GGAUAUGGCUCAGAUUGAACGCUGGCGGCAGGCCUAACACAUGCAAGUCGAACGGUAGCACAGAGAGCUUGCUCUCGGGUGACGAGUGGCGGACGGGUGAGUAAUGUCUGGGAAACUGCCUGAUGGAGGGGGAUAACUACUGGAAACGGUAGCUAAUACCGCAUAACGUCGCAAGACCAAAGAGGGGGACCUUCGGGCCUCUUGCCAUCAGAUGUGCCCAGAUGGGAUUAGCUAGUAGGUGGGGUAACGGCUCACCUAGGCGACGAUCCCUAGCUGGUCUGAGAGGAUGACCAGCCACACUGGAACUGAGACACGGUCCAGACUCCUACGGGAGGCAGCAGUGGGGAAUAUUGCACAAUGGGCGCAAGCCUGAUGCAGCCAUGCCGCGUGUAUGAAGAAGGCCUUCGGGUUGUAAAGUACUUUCAGCGAGGAGGAAGGCGGUGAGGUUAAUAACCUCAUCGAUUGACGUUACUCGCAGAAGAAGCACCGGCUAACUCCGUGCCAGCAGCCGCGGUAAUACGGAGGGUGCAAGCGUUAAUCGGAAUUACUGGGCGUAAAGCGCACGCAGGCGGUCUGUCAAGUCGGAUGUGAAAUCCCCGGGCUCAACCUGGGAACUGCAUUCGAAACUGGCAGGCUAGAGUACUUAUUGG
Molecule: ribosomal RNA, 650 nt
Filed under: Enterobacter sp.
Lineage: Bacteria; Pseudomonadati; Pseudomonadota; Gammaproteobacteria; Enterobacterales; Enterobacteriaceae
Description: bacterial SSU rRNA
Rfam family: Bacterial small subunit ribosomal RNA
Source: RNAcentral